Molecule: ribosomal RNA, 642 nt
Filed under: Triticum aestivum (bread wheat)
Lineage: Eukaryota; Viridiplantae; Streptophyta; Magnoliopsida; Poales; Poaceae
Description: partial small subunit ribosomal RNA
Source: RNAcentral
AUGUCGGUUAGAGAGGCGCUCCACAAUGGAAGAUGGAUGCUUGGGUUACAGAGAAUGACAACGGAAGGGCAGCUCAAUCAGUUCGUCCGGCUUUGGGAGGAACUUCAAUCGAUCCAGCUCACGGACAGCAAAGACAAGAUCCUCUGGACCCUGACUGCUAAUCGAAAAUACUCUGCCGUCUCUGCUUAUGACGCCCACUUUGUGGCAAGGAUCAACAAGUCUGGGCUGGCCCAAGUGUGGAGGGGCAAGAUGGAAGGAAAAGUUAAAUUCUACUUAUGGUUGCUGCUGCAAAACAGAAAUUGGACGGCGGAUCGUCUGCAAGCGAGGGGAUUGCCGCACAAUGACCUAUGUUGCCUUUGUGAUCAAGAAAAGGAGACGGCCGAACACAUCACCCUGGCCUGCUGCUUUGUGAAAGAGGUUUGGCUCCAGUUCCAGCAAGCUGACGACAGGAUGGGCAUGAUGGCCUCCUCGGCAACCUCCAUUGGAGAUUGGUGGUCUCGGCUAUGCACAUGCGAUGGAACCAAGGACAAGAACAGAGAUGAAAUCACACUAGCUGCUUACAUAGUGUGGAACCUGUGGAAAGAAAGAAACCGUAGGGUCUUUGAGCAGAAGGAGCUGACGCCGACUGCACUUGCUGACUGA